RNAcentral lists this ribosomal RNA (253 nucleotides) under uncultured bacterium. RNAcentral describes it as "partial 16S ribosomal RNA". It matches the Rfam family "Bacterial small subunit ribosomal RNA", at positions 524 to 776 of the family's 1533-position model. The record is from RNAcentral.
GACGUAGGGCGCGAGCGUUGUCCGGAUUUAUUGGGCGUAAAGAGCUCGUAGGCGGCUUGUUGCGUCGGCUGUGAAAUCCCAUGGCUCAACUGUGGGCUUGCAGCCGGUACGGGCGGGCUAGAGUUCGGUAGGGGAGACUGGAAUUCCUGGUGUAGCGGUGAAAUGCGCAGAUAUCAGGAGGAACACCGGUGGCGAAGGCGGGUCUCUGGGCCGAUACUGACGCUGAGGAGCGAAAGCGUGGGGAGCGAACAGG